RNAcentral lists this ribosomal RNA (155 nucleotides) under uncultured bacterium. Its description in RNAcentral is "partial 16S ribosomal RNA". It matches the Rfam family "Bacterial small subunit ribosomal RNA", at positions 355 to 507 of the family's 1533-position model. The record is from RNAcentral.
UGAGGAAUAUUGGUCAAUGGUCGGAAGACGGGACCAGCCAAGUCGCGUGAAGGAAGGCGGUACUAAGUAUUGUAAACUUCUUUUGUCUGGGGGUAAAGUGAGGGAUGUAUCCCUUAUUGUAAGUACCAGACGAAUAAGCAUCGGCUAACUCCGUG